This 274-nucleotide ribosomal RNA is filed under the name uncultured bacterium. Its description in RNAcentral is "partial 16S ribosomal RNA". It matches the Rfam family "Bacterial small subunit ribosomal RNA", at positions 523 to 796 of the family's 1533-position model. The record is from RNAcentral.
ACACGGAGGGCGCAAGCGUUGCUCGGAAUCACUGGGCGUAAAGCGGGUGUAGGCGGUCUGGCAAGUCAGAUGUGAAAGCCCACGGCUCAACCGUGGAAGUGCAUCUGAAACUGCUAGACUUGAGUGCCGGAGAGGGAAGUGGAAUUCCUGGUGUAGGGGUGAAAUCCGUAGAUAUCAGGAGGAACACCAGUGGCGAAGGCGACUUCCUGGACGGCCACUGACGCUGAGACCCGAAAGCGUGGGGAGCAAACAGGAUUAGAAACCCUAGUAGUCC